GUGUGCCAUUGUAACACUCCUGCGCAGCUCCUACUUAGAAACAGUCGUCAUGAAUCUCAGAAGAGAAGAGGAAGAAAUUAUGUUCAGGAUUGAAAUAGCCAUUACCUCACUAUCACGUGGUCUUGUUGGUUACAACGUGUGAUGUGACGUAGUGGAAGUUUCGAUUCGAACCUACUGCCUUGUAUAAGUUAUUUUCGGCGAGAUUUUUGAGUGUAUAUUUGUGUAUUAUUUUGUUUUUUCUAAGCGACUAUUCUUGCGAUAUCAAAUGCUGUGAUUACUUUGCGAAAUAAUAUGUAUUAAAAAAUUAGAAAUCUUUAUCUAUAUAACCUCAAAUAUGAAACAAAUUGUAAACUAUGUAAUUUUUUGAAAUAAAAGCAUUGUUUUCGCUGUGAUUUCAUUUAUGUAUAUAUAAGCAAAUGAAAUUAUCAACAAGAAGUUUUAUGUUUCGCUAUUCUGCAAACUUCGGUUUGCUAAGUUGUAGAAAUCGAAUAUCAUCAACCUUUUCAUUGUUACAAUGUUGACAAUUUGCGUCCAAUGUUGUAGAAUGUACUUACUCAUUGUCAAAUAAUGCUAAGCGUAUAAUGCAGUUCUCGUAGGCAAGCCUUAUUACAUAUAUACAAGACGGGCUGUUAUAUGCAUUUAAAUUAUCUACGACUGUGAAAGAAGGAAUGGAAAACGGACAUUAAAAAAAAUUAAUCGCCACUAAUUCAAUUGUAUUUAUUUCUGGUUAGUAAUGUUUGUAUAUGACUAUGUGAAAAAGGGUUCUCUCUGACCGUUUUAAGGUAAAAAUAUUUUAAUAAUCACGUUCAUCAGAUUUGACUAAGCAUUUAAAAGUAGGGAGUUAGAAAUAGAUUGCUUAAUAAGUAAAGGUUGAUAUAUUUUGUAUGGCCGAACAUUGGCUCUUCCGAUUUUGUUAUUUUUUUUUAACCCUUACUAGCUAGUAGCUAUACGGCCUCUACUGUAACUAGUAUAAUUUAUAAACUUUAAUUAACUAGUUUUUAGUAAUUAACUAAUAAUGAGAUGAGAAUAUACACCGGCAAAAAUUCAGUGUAAUAAAAUAACGCUGCUUUAGAGGUAGAGGUUUUUCAAAGUAGCGGGACAACUAUAUAUAUAUUAUAUAUUUAGUUAUCUUAUAGUAUAGUUGGUUUUGUUAUAACAAGAACCUGUAGCUAAUUAGGUGAUCGUUAUCUAAUUGAAAUAUCACGAGUGGUAGAAUGUAGUUAAAUUAUUUAGUUUGCAAUUGAGUACAAUUGCCAACGCUAAUCCGACAUAUCUAAACUAGUCAUUGAAUAAAGCAGUUUAAUUAAAAGUU
Pieris rapae (cabbage white) is the source of this 1312-nucleotide long non-coding RNA. RefSeq lists it as uncharacterized. NCBI's taxonomy places the organism in Eukaryota, Metazoa, Arthropoda, Insecta, Lepidoptera, Pieridae. The transcript has 2 exons. The record is from RefSeq and is a predicted model, not a curated record.